RNAcentral lists this ribosomal RNA (465 nucleotides) under uncultured bacterium. Its description in RNAcentral is "partial 16S ribosomal RNA". It matches the Rfam family "Bacterial small subunit ribosomal RNA", at positions 338 to 795 of the family's 1533-position model. The record is from RNAcentral.
CCUACGGGAGACUGCAGUAGGGAAUCUUCCACAAUGGGCGAAAGCCUGAUGGAGCAACGCCGCGUGGGUGAAGAAGGUCUUCGGAUCGUAAAACCCUGUUGUUAGAGAAGAAAGUGCGUGAGAGUAACUGUUCACGUUUCGACGGUAUCUAACCAGAAAGCCACGGCUAACUACGUGCCAGCAGCCGCGGUAAUACGUAGGUGGCAAACGUUAUCCGGAUUUAUUGGGCGUAAGGGGAACGCAGGCGGUCUUUUAAGUCUGAUGUGAAAGCCUUCGGCUUAACCGGAGUAGUGCAUUGGAAACUGGGAGACGUGAGUGCAGAAGAGGAGAGUGGAACUCGAUGUGUAGCGGUGAAAUGCGUAGAUAUAUGGAAGAACACCAGUGGCGAAAGCGGCUCUCUGGUCUGUAACUGACGCUGAGGUUCGAAAGCGUGGGUAGCAAACAGGAUUAGAUACCCUUGUAGUC